Molecule: non-coding RNA, 70 nt
Organism: Podarcis lilfordi (Lilford's wall lizard)
Lineage: Eukaryota; Metazoa; Chordata; Lepidosauria; Squamata; Lacertidae
Source: the annotation of a GenBank genome assembly
GGGUAGCUCAGUUGGUUAGAGCAUGGUGCUGAUAAUACCAAGGUCACAGCUUCGAUCCCUGCAUGGGACA